CCUGUCCUUAAAAAACUAAAAGAAAACUUCAGGACUAUUUAACUGUUCCAGGUGUUCCUCAACCCUGUGCCCUCCAGAUGUGUUGGACUAUAGCUCCCAUCCAAUCCAGCCAGCAAGCUAACUGGGCCUGAUGGUGUUUGUGGUCCAAUACAUCUAACCAAUGACUCUUUUCUCUGUGAAAGUAAGUCAUUCUAUAAACCCCAGCAGAGAGGCAGAACUGGCCCAAGGCAAAGAUGGGAAUGCCUGUUUCAUUCCAUGUUAGAAACCAAACUUGGCUUACUUGGUGAAUAUUUUCCAGCAUAGUGACAAUAAAUAUAAUACCUGUAAUCAGCAGGCAAGGUUGGGGGUGCAGAAAUCCACACCUGCAUCUUCCAUGAACUAUAUUAGUCAAUAUCAGAGCUCAAUUGUGGAUGGAGAUAAAAAGGAGUGAUUCCUGGAAACUAUCCUGAAACUGAUUUGUCUUUUCAGAACAAGGUCCCUGUUCUGUCUCAGCCUCCUUGAAAUUCAGUGCAGGAAUCAUUGCUGGAGCUUUGCUGGGAACCCUCACCUGGACCAGCACAUUCCCCCUCUUCUCAGUGAUCUUCUGCAUGUUCUCAUCAUUCUUUCCUGAAUGCUGAAUUUGGAAGCAGUUCCUUCCUUUUUGAAAGAUUCCUUUGCAGAGAACAGGCACGUGAGUUUUGCUGUGUCUGUAUGUAUAGUGGAACAGCUCUCUGUUCGGAUAUUAAGCUUGAUCUGAUGCUGAUUUCUUUUGAAGCUCAACUUUGACCCAAACUGUGUAUUAGUUUAUUUUGUUUCUGUUUAUAUGAACAAAACUUAAGCCAUUCUGAACUUUAAAACCUGGGAAUGUUGGCAGCCUGUAAAACAUGGAGAAAAGCUAUAUAUCUCGUCACUAGGAGUCAAAAACGACUUGAUGGCACAUAAUCUAAACAUACAUUGUAUUUUGUACCUAACACCUGUACAUGGCUUAUUUUUCUGGCAGUUGAUGCAUAUUAUCCAAUUUUGAAAACAGAAAAAUCUAUGGAUGCCCUUUCUCCAUCCCAACAUUGCUCAAAAUAAAAUGUGGUUUUUCACUUGAAUUAA
Candoia aspera is the source of this 1080-nucleotide long non-coding RNA. RefSeq lists it as uncharacterized. The transcript is spliced from 3 exons. Lineage: Eukaryota; Metazoa; Chordata; Lepidosauria; Squamata; Candoiidae. The record is from RefSeq and is a predicted model, not a curated record.